UCAUCGUUUGAUUUCUUCACUUUCUUCUUCUUCCUUUCUUUCAUCGUCUAUUCCCAUUUCACACAACAUCCGAAAUGGAAGAAAGUUCUGAAGGAACAGAGACCAGCAAAAUCCGUAACAUAUGCAUCCUUGCCCACGUGGACCACGGCAAGACCACCCUCGCCGACCACCUCAUCGCUGCUGCAGGUGGCGCCCUCCUCCAUCCAAAACUCGCCGGAAGAGUCCGCUUCAUGGACUACCUCGACGAGGAGCAGCGCCGCGCCAUCACCAUGAAGUCCUCCUCCAUCUGCCUCCGUUACGGCGACCACUCCAUCAACCUCAUCGUGGACUUCUGCAGCGAGGUUUCCACCGCCGCCCGCCUCAGCGACGGCGCACUCCUCCUCGUCGACGCUGUCGAAGGCGUCCACAUCCAAACCCACGCCGUCCUCCGCCAGUGCUGGAUCGAGCGCCUCUCCCCUUGCCUCGUCCUCAACAAGAUCGACCGCCUCAUCACGGAGCUUAAACUCACGCCGUCCGAGGCCUACGUCCGCUUAUUGCGCAUCGUUCAAGAAGUUAACGGCAUCGUUAGCGCAUUCCGUUCCGAGAAGUACCUAUCUGACGUGGAUUCCCUUCUUGCCACGUCAGGUAUGAACCCUAACGAGAUUGAGAAUGAGGAAGCAGAUGAUGAAGCUGACGAGUUUCAACCGCAGAAAGGGAAUGUGAUAUUCGCUUGCGCUUUAGACGGUUGGGGAUUUGGAAUCAAUAAAUUCGCUGAGAUUUAUGCUUCCAAGCUUGGUGCUAGUGUAAAUGCGUUGUUGAAGGCUCUAUGGGGACCUUGGCAUUUUAAUCCGAAGACGAAGAUGAUUGCUAAGAAGAAAGUUGGUGGUGGUGGAGACACUGGUAAGGGUAAUGCGAAACCGAUGUUUGUUCAGUUUGUGUUGGAACCACUGUGGCAGGUUUAUGAGGGUGCGCUUAAGGGUGGUGAUGAGGGUAAGGGUGUGGUUGAGAAGGUUGUUAGGUCCUUUAAUUUGUCGGUGCCGGCGAGGGAGCUUCAGAAUAAAGAUCCCAAGGCUGUGCUUCAGGCGGUUAUCAGCAGGUGGCUGCCGCUCGCGGAUGCUGUGUUGUCGAUGGUGGUUAGGUGUAUGCCAGACCCUGCUGCAGCACAGACAUACCGGAUAUCGCGAUUGAUGCCGAAGGUUGAGGUGGAUAGUGAGGUUGGAGUUGAUAGGAGUGUUUUGGAGGAAACAGAGCGUGUGAGGAAGUCUGUGGAGGUUUGUGAUUUGAGGGAGGAUGCUCCUUGUGUUGCUUUUGUGUCCAAGAUGUUUGCGGUGCCGGUUAAAAUGCUUCCUCCCCUGAGAGGGGAGAAUGGGAAUAGUUAUGGCGGCGAAGGAGAAAGCGAGUCGGACGAGUGUUUCUUGGCAUUUGCUAGGAUAUUUAGUGGGGUUUUGCAUGCUGGUCAGAGAGUUUUCAUUCUCUCUGCUUUGUAUGAUCCAUUGAAAAGGGAAUCAAUGCAGAAACAUGUGCAGGAAGCUGAAUUGCAGACCUUGUAUUUGAUGAUGGGCCAGGGAUUGAAAGUAGUGACAUCUGCCAAAGCAGGAAAUGUUGUUGCCAUUCGGGGCCUCGGCCAGCAUAUCCUGAAAUCAGCUACUCUCAGUUCUAGCAUGAAUUGUUGGCCGUUUUCAAGUCUCGCAUUCCAAGUUGCCCCGACGCUGAGAGUUGCAAUUGAGCCGUCUGAUCCAGCGGAUGUGGGUGCACUGCUGAAAGGAUUGAGGCUUUUGAAUCGAGCAGAUCCGUUUGUCGAGGUUACUGUUUCUGCAAGAGGAGAACAUGUGCUCUCUGCAGCCGGGGAGGUUCACCUGGAGAGAUGCAUAAAGGAUUUGAAGGAGAGGUUUGCAAAAGUAAGUUUGGAAGUAUCACCGCCUCUUGUGUCCUACAAAGAGACCAUUGAGGGAGAGGCAUCCAAGAUGCUGGAAAGUUUAAAAGCUUUUACUAAGAGCACAGAUUAUGUUGAGAAAACAACACCAAAUGGUAGAUGUGUUGUCCGUGUGCGUGUGAUAAAACUUUUGCCUUCUCUUACAAAGGUGCUUGAUGAAAGUCCUGAUUUAGUUGGUGAUGUUAUUGGAAUUAAGUCAGCGCAGACGAUAAAAACAUUGGAUUGCCAGAGACCAAAUGUUACUGAGAAUGAUAAUCCGGCUGAGGUUCUAAGAAAACGCAUUGUAGAUGCAGUGGAGAGUGAUGUGCUGAGCUGGAAUGAGAUUGAUAAUGAUCAUGCUGAGAGAUGUAAAUUGGAGUGGCUGAAACUUUUGAGGAGGAUAUGGGCUCUAGGACCUAGACAGAUUGGUCCGAACAUUCUCUUAACUCCUAAUAUUAAAGCAGAGGGUACGGAUAACUCUGUUUUAGUACGGGGUUGUUCUCAUGUGUCUGAUAAGUUGGGCUUUGUGCCUGAUUCUAGUGAUGGAAAUUCAGUUGCGGAGACAUCUUCAAAUGCAAGUCAAGCUUUGUACAAAGAAGCCGAGCGCCUUGAGAGUAGUGUCGUAUCCGGGUUCGAACUGGCCACUGCCGCCGGACCCUUAUGUGAUGAACCUAUGUGGGGUUUGGCAUUUCUUGUUGAGGCGUGGAUAUCUCCGCUUAUUGAACAGAACGAUGAAUCUGAAACACAUCUACAAUCAGAACAGUAUGGGAUCUUUGCAGGGCAGGUAAUUGCCACUGUCAAGGAUGCAUGUAGAGCAGCCGUGCUUCAGAAUAAACCCCGGCUUGUGGAAGCAAUGUACUUCUGUGAAUUGAAUACACCUACUGAAUGUUUGGGUCCAAUGUAUGCUGUACUUAACCGAAGACGGGCCCGAGUUCUGAAAGAAGAGAUGCAGGAAGGUUCCCCUUUCUUCACUGUGCAUGCAUAUGUUCCAGUUUCUGAGAGCUUUGGUUUUGCGGAUGAGCUCCGCAAAGGGACUUCUGGUGCUGCAAGUGCGCUUCUUGUCCUUAGUCACUGGGAAGCACUUCCAGAGGAUCCUUUCUUUGUACCCAGAACGGAAGAGGAAAUUGAAGAGUUUGGAGAUGGUUCUAGUGUUCUGCCAAAUACAGCUAGAAAGUUAAUUAACACAGUCAGACGGCGCAAGGGCCUUCCUGUGGAAGAAAAGGUUGUACAACAUGGAACCAAGCAGAGGACGUUGGCUCGUAAAGUCUAAUAUAUUUCAUUACUGUUGUAUCCAUAUCUGUGAGCUGCAUACCUUCCAUUAAUAGAUAUGGUAGAGGCUGUAUUUCCGCUUCGGAGUGAAUGUUAUGGAAGCUGCUAACUGAAGUUGUUGAAAUCAGUGAUUUCAGCUCUAUUGUGAUAUGGAGAGACUCAUAGAUGAUCAGUUUGAACAGUUGAAAGCGCAUGUUAAUAUUGUGAUAUACUAGCUGCAAGAGGUUCGAUAAAACACAGAGAGAAAGGAGAACUUUCUGUGUUUUCACUUGCAAUCCUCAUAAAAUCGCUGCUUCCACUACCUGACAAAUAUGAUAGCCUAACUGAUAGAGAUAAAUGCUAUCGCCAAAGAUAAGAGUCUCAGGAUGUACACUUUGAGCCUUCAUGCAAGCUUGGAUGGAUUGACAUUUUUCAGGAAAUCAAUAAUAUCACCCGUACUGAAGGAACUUAAAUCUACUGGAGAAGACAAGAAUAUGGAGAGAGCACAGGCAGGAAAAAGAAAUACCUUGUAUUAUAAUAGUUGCUUUGUUAUAUAAACUAAUCCAAGAGAGAUUCAUUUCGAGCGGGAAUGUAAUUGUGAAAUUGGUUUUUCGGAUUCUCGUGUGGUAUCUGUCUUAUUUAUUUAUGAUGGUAGAGGAAGGAUACUAAAUCUGUGAAAAUUGUUUGAUA
This is an RNA transcript of Arachis duranensis, 3829 nucleotides long. RefSeq lists it as uncharacterized. The transcript is spliced from 4 exons. The record is from RefSeq and is a predicted model, not a curated record. Lineage: Eukaryota; Viridiplantae; Streptophyta; Magnoliopsida; Fabales; Fabaceae.